AUUGAACGCUGGCGGCAUGCCUUACACAUGCAAGUCGAACGAGUGUAGCAAUACACAAGUGGCGAACGGGUGAGUAAUGCAUCGGAACGUAUCCUAUUGUGGGGGAUAACGUAGCGAAAGUUACGCCAAUACCGCAUAAGAUCUUAGGGUGAAAGUGGGGGAUCUUCGGACCUCGCCCGAUCGGAGCGGCCGAUGUCGGAUUAGCUAGUAGGUGGGGUAAAGGCUUACCUAGGCGACGAUCCGGUGCGGGUCUGAGAGGAUGAUCCGCCACACUGGGACUGAGACACGGCCCAGACUCCUACGGGAGGCAGCAGUGGGGAAUUUUGGACAAUGGGCGCAAGCCUGAUCCAGCCAUGCCGCGUGAGUGAAGAAGGCCUUCGGGUUGUAAAGCUCUUUCGGACGGAAAGAAAUUGCUUCGGAUAAUACCUGGAGUAGAUGACGGUACCGUAAGAAGAAGCACCGGCUAACUACGUGCCAGCCGCCGCCGUAA
RNAcentral lists this ribosomal RNA (490 nucleotides) under uncultured bacterium. Its description in RNAcentral is "partial 16S ribosomal RNA". It matches the Rfam family "Bacterial small subunit ribosomal RNA", at positions 30 to 523 of the family's 1533-position model. The record is from RNAcentral.